This is a long non-coding RNA of Salvelinus namaycush (lake trout), 986 nucleotides long. RefSeq lists it as uncharacterized. The record is from RefSeq and is a predicted model, not a curated record. The transcript is spliced from 4 exons. NCBI's taxonomy places the organism in Eukaryota, Metazoa, Chordata, Actinopteri, Salmoniformes, Salmonidae.
AAUUUUCAAAAAACUAGCGGCGGGCAUGACGCUUUCCCCUGAUCGGAUCAUUGUUGUUUACAUCACACGAAGAGAGAGUUACAGCUUGUUCUCGGGAGACAGAUCAGUGUGUGUAGAGAGAAAACAUUUUACCAGGUGGAGUCAGGCUUCUUCUUUGUCUUUGGACCACUACACCAACAAGGCAGAAGACGCCAAGUUUGGAUCAAUUAUGCUGAUGCCCCACUAAGAACCUGGAGAUCUUCACUGUUUCUGGGGGAGGUGACGUGGCCACAAACAAUGCGUGGGACACCUUCCAACGCUACCUCUGUCUGCCAGAGGGUGAUCAAGACAUCUUCAACCCCAUUGGAGGAGACGACCCAAGGUUCCUCGCCUCAGACUUCCUCCAAUGGGUUUUGAGAAGGAUUGCAGUUGUAAACAACCAUCAACGAGUCCAUCCUCAGCUCCUCCAUCACUGCAACGGAUUGUCCGGUCUGCUGAGAGGGUCAUUGGCUGCCACCUGCCCUCCUUCGAGGUCCUGCACGACUCCAGGGCAAGGAAGCGUGCAGGAAAGAUCAUUGCCAACCCCUUCCGUCCCCUCUGGCAAACGGUUCAGGUCAAUCACGACCAAAACCUCACACCACCUGAACAGUUUCUUCCCCUUGUGCCAUGGCCCUCAUCCAGCCGGCAACCUGGUCUACGAUGAUCCUGUCAUCCAUGGACUUUGUACUCUGCGCUAUUCAUCCACAGACUAUUCACUGCACUAUCAUCCCAGAACUGCACAUGGCUCUUUGCACUGUCUGCACAUCUCUUACAUGCAUCAUUUAUAAUGUAGCUUAUAGCGCUCACAGUGUACAUACUGUAUGUGAAUCUGUGGAGAUUCUGCAUCUAUAUAUUUUUUGGUCUGUAAAUGUUGUUUAUCGUCUGUCUGUAUAUUGUUUAUUGUGGCAGCACCAUUUCAGUCAUUCCUGUACAUGCAAAUGUAUUUGGCGAAUAAAGCUGAUAUGUUA